AACUUACUUGUGUUGGGGAUAUGGAUGUAGAUACAGAUAAUUUCUAUCUUGGGCAGGACCGGAGGAGGUUAUAGUUGAUCUGAAUCCAAAAUUAUUGAUAUUUUAGGUGUUUCUAGGACCUAUGUCUUGCUAGUUUGUAAUAUCAAGCUUCUAAGCAAAAGCCACGUACUAGUUCAUAGUUUUCAGGGUGAAUGACAAGCUACCUGCAGAUUCAUAAUAACUAAAAUCCAUAAAUGUAUAGCUUACGAUGUUCUGGUNCUGGGAUGAUGUGAAUUUGUUUAUUUUAGUUGGUGUGAGAGUGUGGCCCUGUGGGAUGGAGGGUAGGGAGGUUGAUUAAAGAUUCUCUCAGAAUCGAACCGUUCCUGCAAUUUUUUCCAGUCUACAUUUUUCUUGUGCGAUAGCAAUUUUGUUAUGUCUUAACUUUAGUGAGAAAACUUAAUUUGGAUCGACUUAGUGUUAGGAUAAGAAGCUGCUAAUUGCCAGCCUGUGGAGUUGGCUACAUAAAGGGUUAUUUGUUUUGUACUUUUGAGCAUAUUAUGAUCAUCUCGAAAUAGUGGUAAAAAUGCUAUUACAUCAGAAUCUGUUAGUGAGAUGCAAUCAGUAAUAAUUUUGUCCAGUUUCUGCAACACCUACAGGCUACAAUAGAGGUUCUUAUGAGGUUACUAUAUUAGUAGGGAAAAUUUACUCUCAUCUAUCCUUCUCUUGCACUAGAUAUAAUUGGUGUUGAAAUAAAAGGAAGAUUAUGUGGCUAGCUGUAUAAUUUCUAGCAAGUCUUCCCACAACCUGAUGCUUAAGCCGGAUUCCUUGCUCUGGGUCCGAACCGAUAUUCCUCAUAAUUCAACUGUCCUAAAUUGUCAGUGUAGGAGUCUUCUAUUGCUUUUUGACCUUGCUAAAGCGAUAUUUGUGAUAGAUUUACUGGCUUUAGGCUUCUUGGCAAUUGUCCUGGGAGCAGGCUGCUACAGUGGGACUCCUAAUCACUCGCACAAGCAACCUCUAUAAAGCCUAUAAUAGAGGCUUAAAGACACUGCAGGAUAUCUGUGUCGUGCAUGUUAGUCUAAAUAGAGAAGAACUUACUUGUGUUGGGGAUAUGGAUGUAGAUACAGAUAAUUUCUAUCUUGGGCAGGACCGGAGGAGGUUAUAGUUGAUCUGAAUCCAAAAUUAUUGAUAUUUUAGGUGUUUCUAGGACCUAUGUCUUGCUAGUUUGUAAUAUCAAGCUUCUAAGCAAAAGCCACGUACUAGUUCAUAGUUUUCAGGGUGAAUGACAAGCUACCUGCAGAUUCAUAAUAACUAAAAUCCAUAAAUGUAUAGCUUACGAUGUUCUGGUUUGCAUAGUGCAGUGCAGGGAUACCUAAAGUUGAAGUCACUUUGUUCUUAUUAAAGCAUCUGAUCGUUUUGUUCUUUCUUGUUUGAUUCCUUAUAAACUCCAAUGAUGUCACCAG
Molecule: long non-coding RNA, 1439 nt
Filed under: Daucus carota (carrot)
Lineage: Eukaryota; Viridiplantae; Streptophyta; Magnoliopsida; Apiales; Apiaceae
Description: long non-coding RNA (DCAR_LNC002999)
Source: RNAcentral